RNAcentral lists this non-coding RNA (114 nucleotides) under Kitasatospora setae. RNAcentral describes it as "TPP sequence". It matches the Rfam family "TPP riboswitch aptamer (THI element)". Rfam says of the family: Vitamin B(1) in its active form thiamin pyrophosphate (TPP) is an essential coenzyme that is synthesised by coupling of pyrimidine and thiazole moieties in bacteria. The previously detected thiamin-regulatory element, thi box was extended, resulting in a new, highly conserved RNA secondary structure, the THI element, which is widely distributed in eubacteria and also occurs in some archaea. RNAcentral also lists the same sequence under 1 other name. Lineage: Bacteria; Bacillati; Actinomycetota; Actinomycetes; Kitasatosporales; Streptomycetaceae. The record is from RNAcentral.
GUACGUCAUCACGGGAGCCCGGCGCACCGGGCUGAGAGGCGGGCUGUGGCGGCCCGCGACCGUCCGAACCUGAUCCGGGUCAUGCCGGCGAAGGGAGCAUCAGCGGCUGUGGCA